RNAcentral lists this long non-coding RNA (459 nucleotides) under Mytilus galloprovincialis (Mediterranean mussel). Lineage: Eukaryota; Metazoa; Mollusca; Bivalvia; Mytilida; Mytilidae. The record is from RNAcentral.
GAAUUGUUAAAUAUUAGCGAGAUAAAAUACAAGUUGAAUGAACAUACAUGUUAAUGAGCUUGUUAACUAGUCAGAAAAUAACAAAUGAUUUUCCUUAUUAAUAUCUUUUUCCUCUCUUUUAGUGUAUUUGUUCUUUAAAGUAUUUCAUGUUGUUUUUCUUUGCAAAUUCAGUUCAAAACGUGAGGGUGAUUUACAGCUUGCCAUAUGGAAUACCCACAUUAAUAAUUGCUAAAUAAAAGUUAAUUGAAAUGACUUUUCUAUGUAUGAGCCUAUUUCAUAUGGGCAUACCAGACAGUACUCUAGUAUGCACCUGAUAACUUGUUUCAUUUUGGUGCAAGAAAAGUAUAAACAGUAAAUUUUAAAAUUGUCGCAAUUGUUGGUCAGUAGACAGGAAUACUAAUUGAACUCAUCAAUGGGAAUGUGAACAUGUAGUAUAAAUAUAGGUUGGAAGGAAAUAAG